This 244-nucleotide ribosomal RNA is filed under the name uncultured bacterium. Its description in RNAcentral is "partial 16S ribosomal RNA". It matches the Rfam family "Bacterial small subunit ribosomal RNA", at positions 556 to 793 of the family's 1533-position model. The record is from RNAcentral.
CUGGGGCGUAAAGCGCAUGCAGGCGGCCUGUUAAGUCAGAUGUGAAAGCCCGGGGGCUUAACCUCGGAAUUGCAUUUGAAACUGGCAGGCUAGAGUCUUGUAGAGGGGGGUAGGAAUUUCAGGUGUAGCGGUGAAAUGCGUAGAGAUCUGAAGGAAUACCAGUGGCGAAGGCGGCCCCCUGGACAAAGACUGACGCUCAGACUGCGAAAGCGUGGGGAGCAAACAGGAUUAGAUACCCUGGUAG